RNAcentral lists this non-coding RNA (28 nucleotides) under Rattus norvegicus (Norway rat). The record is from RNAcentral. Lineage: Eukaryota; Metazoa; Chordata; Mammalia; Rodentia; Muridae.
UCAACCUAGCAACAUUUGUGCUGUGUGU